RNAcentral lists this non-coding RNA (72 nucleotides) under unclassified sequences. RNAcentral describes it as "L31-Actinobacteria ribosomal protein leader". It matches the Rfam family "L31-Actinobacteria ribosomal protein leader". The record is from RNAcentral.
ACGGUUCCGGUUGACGGCGCGAUCGGCAGCACGCCCGCGCCCGUCUUGAGGAGCACCGCCGACCCGGCGACC